Molecule: ribosomal RNA, 696 nt
Filed under: Triticum aestivum (bread wheat)
Lineage: Eukaryota; Viridiplantae; Streptophyta; Magnoliopsida; Poales; Poaceae
Description: partial small subunit ribosomal RNA
Source: RNAcentral
AUGCUUGCCAAGGGCUUCCCCGAGAUUUGGUGCAAUUGGGUUGACAGCCUGAACCGUUCCAGUCAGUCGGCUGUUGUUCUGAAUGGCAAGCCGGGCCCUUGGAUCAACUGCAAACAGGGGCUACGACAGGGCGACUCGCUUUCUCCGUAUCUUUUUAUUAUUGUUGCUGAUGUCCUUCAGCGUCUGAUCUACCAGGCCUCCAAUGAUGAUAGGUUAGCUCACCCAAUUAAUCAGGAGCUACCUUGCCCAGUUCUUCAGUAUGCUGACGAUAAGUUGAUCAUCUUGCCGGCGGAGGCUGCUCAACUUCAGACCUUAAAAGCUAUCCUGCUUCAAUUCUCUCAAGCCACGGGGUUGCAUAUCAACUUCCAUAAGAGCACGUUUGCCCCCAUCCACGUGCCUCCUGAGUUAGCCAACGAUUUAGCCGACAUUUUUGGUUGCCCGGUUGCUUCUUUCCCUCAGUCCUACCUCGGCCUUCCUCUAUCUACCCACAAACUUCGCAUCGCCGAUUUCUUUUUCAUUAUCGACAAGAUUGACCGCCGCCUUGCUGGAUGGCAUGGGAUCCUUCUUUCUAUUGCUGGGCGAGCUAUCCUGGUUCGAGCUGUUCUUAGAGCCCUACCUAUAUACGCCAUGACUUCUCUGCUGCUGCCGAUGGGUGUUGUCACUGAAAUAGAUAAACGAUGCAGAGCCUUUUUUUGA